Molecule: ribosomal RNA, 472 nt
Filed under: uncultured organism
Description: partial 16S ribosomal RNA
Rfam family: Bacterial small subunit ribosomal RNA
Source: RNAcentral
UACACUCCUACGGGAGGCAGCAGUGGGGAAUUUUGGACAAUGGGCGAAAGCCUGAUCCAGCAAUGCCGCGUGUGUGAAGAAGGCCUUCGGGUUGUAAAGCACUUUUGUCCGGAAAGAAAUCCUUGGCUCUAAUACAGUCGGGGGAUGACGGUACCGGAAGAAUAAGCACCGGCUAACUACGUGCCAGCAGCCGCGGUAAUACGUAGGGUGCGAGCGUUAAUCGGAAUUACUGGGCGUAAAGCGUGCGCAGGCGGUUUGCUAAGACCGAUGUGAAAUCCCCGGGCUCAACCUGGGAACUGCAUUGGUGACUGGCAGGCUAGAGUAUGGCAGAGGGGGGUAGAAUUCCACGUGUAGCAGUGAAAUGCGUAGAGAUGUGGAGGAAUACCGAUGGCGAAGGCAGCCCCCUGGGCCAAUACUGACGCUCAUGCACGAAAGCGUGGGGAGCAAACAGGAUUAGAAACCCCGGUAGUCC